GACGAACGCUGGCGGCGUGCCUAAUACAUGCAAGUAGAACGCUGAAGGAGGAGCUUGCUCUUCUGGAUGAGUUGCGAACGGGUGAGUAACGCGUGGGUAACCUGCCUGGUAGCGGGGGAUAACUAUUGGAAACGAUAGCUAAUACCGCAUAACAGUAGAUGUUGCAUGACAUUUGCUUAAAAGGUGCAAUUGCAUCACUACCAGAUGGACCUGCGUUGUAUUAGCUAGUUGGUGGGGUAACGGCUCACCAAGGCGACGAUACAUAGCCGACCUGAGAGGGUGAUCGGCCACACUGGGACUGAGACACGGCCCAGACUCCUACGGGAGGCAGCAGUAGGGAAUCUUCGGCAAUGGACGGAAGUCUGACCGAGCAACGCCGCGUGAGGGAAGAAGGUUUUCGGAUCGUAAAGCUCUGUUGUAAGAGAAGAACGAGUGUGAGAGUGGAAAGUUCACACUGUGACGGUAUCUUACCAGAAAGGGACGGCUAACUACGUG
This 495-nucleotide ribosomal RNA is filed under the name uncultured bacterium. RNAcentral's name for it is "partial 16S ribosomal RNA". It matches the Rfam family "Bacterial small subunit ribosomal RNA", at positions 28 to 507 of the family's 1533-position model. The record is from RNAcentral.